UCGCAUCUGUGCAUGCAGCAUAUCAAUAAGCGGAGGAAAAGAAACUAACAAGGAUUCCCCUAGUAACGGCGAGUGAAGCGGGAAGAGCUCAAAUUUGAAAUCUUAAAGGGUUUCCCUUUACGAAUUGUAGUUUAAAGAAGUGUUUUCUGUUGAGGUUUUGGUAAAAGUUCUUUGGAAUAGGACAUCAUAGAGGGUGAGAAUCCCGUAUUUGACCUUUACUUUCAACUUUGUGAUACACUUUCAAAGAGUCGGAUUGUUUGGGAAUGCAGUCCAAAAUGGGUGGUAAAUUUCAUCUAAAGCUAAAUAUUGGCGAGAGACCGAUAGCGAACAGGUACCGUGAGGGAAAGAUGAAAAGAACUUUGAAAAGAGAGUUAAACAGUACGUGAAAUUGUCAAAAGGGAAGCGUUUGACACCAGUGUUGUUUUUCUGAAAAUCAAUUAAAGAACUGUUUAUGCUAAGCUGUUUAGACUUUAUCAGCUAUCUGUUUAGUUUUGAGCUUUUCUUUAAUGCACUUUUCAGUUAACAAGUCAACAUCAAUUUCUUUUGCUGUAAAAAAGCUUGAGGAAGGUGGCUUGAGAUUCGUCUUAAGUGUUUAUAGCCUCUUGCCUAUGCAGUCGGAGAGAUUGAGGUCUGCAGCGUAGAUCCUUCGGGGCUAAAUGCAUUUGUGCUAAGUUAUAGCAUUUUAUAGACAACUUGUUGACUAUGAUUUGUCUUGUAGCUUACUCGCUUAUGUUAUUUUACCUACGCUUAGGAUGUUGACAGCAGUAUAGACUGU
RNAcentral lists this ribosomal RNA (775 nucleotides) under uncultured Neocallimastigales. RNAcentral's name for it is "partial large subunit ribosomal RNA". It matches the Rfam family "Eukaryotic large subunit ribosomal RNA", at positions 24 to 634 of the family's 3401-position model. Lineage: Eukaryota; Fungi; Neocallimastigomycota; Neocallimastigomycetes; Neocallimastigales. The record is from RNAcentral.